AAUGGAGCAAAACAAAGAAAGAAGCUUCCGAAAUGGCAUUAGCUCUCGGAGGAAAGAAAAAGAGUCAGAAGAAGAAGGUGAUCAACUAUGACACACCUCGUCAGGUGCAACAAAGUCAACGAUGGGAACAAGCGGAAUCUCAUCAAGACAAACCGCCCUUUCAGUCAAGGCCUCCGAGUCAUUCACAGUGAGCAAGAAACGCAGGAGGCAGAGGCAACUCCCGUGGAAAUGGUUUUCACAGAGGAAAUAAAAGAGGUGGAAUCAGAUCUGGGAAGUAGAACCAGGGAACAGGGAUGAAUUCCGAACAGUCCAAGAAGUAUUGGGGGGACCAAGAAAGAUUGAUGACCAAGAUUGGACCAGGAUUAUCAAAAUAAAUAAUAUUAAAUGUU
Mytilus californianus (California mussel) is the source of this 389-nucleotide long non-coding RNA. RefSeq lists it as uncharacterized. The transcript has 2 exons. Lineage: Eukaryota; Metazoa; Mollusca; Bivalvia; Mytilida; Mytilidae. The record is from RefSeq and is a predicted model, not a curated record.